UUGUUUUUCAAAACAUGGUCUUUUGUUUAUAUAAAAGAUCUGGCCUGCCCUAUGAUUUAUAUUAAAUGGCUGCAGUAUUUUGACUGUACAAAGGUAGCAUAAUCAUUUGUCUUUUAAUUGAAGGCUGGAAUGAAUGGUUGGAUGAAAAAUAUACUUUCUUUAUUUUAUAAAAAGAACUUGAUUUUUUAGUUAAAAAGCUAAAAUUGUUUUAUAGGACGAGAAGACCCUAUAGAACUUUACUAUUUAUAAUAAAUAAUUAUUAUAUUUUAUUAAAAGAUUUUUUAUUAAAAAUAGUUGUGUUGGGGUGACAAAAAAAAUAUUAUAACUUUUUUUAUUUAUGUCAUUUAUAUAUGUAUUUUUGAUCCUUUUUUAUGGAUUAUAAGAUAAAGUUACCUUAGGGAUAACAGCGUUAUUUUUUUGGAGAGUUCAUAUCGAUAAAAAAGUUUGCGACCUCGAUGUUGGAUUAAAAUUAAUUAUAGGAGUAUAAUAUUAUAAAUUAGGUCUGUUCGACCUUUAAAUUUUUACAUGAUCGGU
Molecule: ribosomal RNA, 534 nt
Filed under: Eurystylus coelestialium
Lineage: Eukaryota; Metazoa; Arthropoda; Insecta; Hemiptera; Miridae
Description: partial small subunit ribosomal RNA
Rfam family: Bacterial large subunit ribosomal RNA
Source: RNAcentral